This 463-nucleotide ribosomal RNA is filed under the name uncultured bacterium. RNAcentral describes it as "partial 16S ribosomal RNA". It matches the Rfam family "Bacterial small subunit ribosomal RNA", at positions 28 to 507 of the family's 1533-position model. The record is from RNAcentral.
GACGAACGCUGGCGGCGUGCUUAACACAUGCAAGUCGAACGGAAAGGCCUUUUCGGAGGUACACGAGUGGCGAACGGGUGAGUAACACGUGGGUGAUCUGCCCUGCACUCUGGGAUAAGCCUGGGAAACUGGGUCUAAUACCGGAUAGGACCGCACUUUAGUGUGUGUGGUGGAAAGUUUUUUCGGUGUAGGAUGAGCCCGCGGCCUAUCAGCUUGUUGGUGGGGUAAUGGCCUACCAAGGCGGCGACGGGUAGCCGGACUGAGAGGUUGGUCGGCCACAUUGGGACUGAGAUACGGCCCAGACUCCUACGAGAGGCAGCAGUGGGGAAUAUUGCACAAUGGGCGCAAGCCUGAUGCAGCGACGCCGCGUGGGGGAUGACGGCCUUCGGGUUGUAAACUCCUUUCGCCAGGGACGAAGCGUUUUGUGACGGUACCUGGAGAAGAAGCACCGGCUAACUACGUG